Molecule: long non-coding RNA, 1352 nt
Filed under: Vitis vinifera (wine grape)
Lineage: Eukaryota; Viridiplantae; Streptophyta; Magnoliopsida; Vitales; Vitaceae
Description: long non-coding RNA (VVIN_LNC003405)
Source: RNAcentral
GCAUGUUUGGGUUUGGCGGAUUUCGAAGAUAGGAGGAAUUGCUUGCCAGGGAGGCCGGAGCAGAGGUCCGCCGGGCAAUGUAACUCGUUUUUGUCCCGACCUGUUGAUUGUAGCUCUUUCAGGUGUUCUCCUUUUGUUCCUUCUUUACCUACUCCCCCACCACCCUCACCACCGGUGUUCCCCUCUCCACCCCCGACACCGGUUUACUCACCUCCACCGGUGUUCUCGCCUCCGCCACCGGUGCUCUCUUCCCCACCACCACCAUCACCGCCACCGCCAUCUCCUUCGCCUCCACCACCUCCAGUUUACUCCCCUCCUCCACCUCCACCAGUUUACUCACCUCCACCACCCCCUCCUCCCCCACCGCCACCACCACCUGUUUAUUUUCCGCCACCACCUCCACCUUCACCACCACCACCGUCUCCCCCUCCACCCUCACCCCCACCACCUUCUCCAUCACCGCCUCCCCCUCCCUCGCCACCACCACCGGUAUUAUCGCCCCCGCCUCCAGUUUAUUGCGUCCGUUCCCCACCACCGCCACCGCCAAAUUCUCCCCCGCCUCCCAUUUAUUCUCCACCACCACCUCCAGUUCAUUCACCGCCCCCACCAAGUCCUUACUAUAGUUCACCACCGCCCCCGCCGCCACAUCAUUCACCUCCACCACCUCCCCACUCGCCACCCCCGCCUCCACCUAUCUAUCCAUACGCAUCACCGCCACCGCCACCCGUGCAUUCCCCACCACCACCUGUCCAUUCUCCACCACCUCCAUGCAUAGAACCGCCUCCUCCUUCUCCACCACCCCCAUCACCACCUCCAUGCAUAGAACCGCCUCCUCCUCCUUCUCCACCACCAUGUGUAGAAUAUUCGCCACCUCCACCAUCACCACACUCACCACCGCCACCACCAGUUCAUUACUUGCCUCCACCAUCACCAUCACCCCCACCACCACCUGUGUAUGCUUCUCCGCCACCUCCACCAUCUCUGCCUCCCCCAGUUUACUACCAUUCUCCGCCCCCACCCUCACCACCUCCUCCAACCCCAUGUGAAAAUCCUCCACCUACUCCAUCACCACCGCCCCCAAUCAUUUAUGAGAGCCCACCACCUCCAACCCCUGUAUAUGAGGGGCCAUUGCCACCAAUCUUUGGAGUUUCAUACGCUUCUCCACCGCCACCACCCUUCUAUUGAUUCUUUUGAGAAUUUUCCUCCUCUUGACAUUUCCUCAAAGAAACAAAAUUUACAAUUAUAUUAGUGGUCAUGGCCUCUUUUCCCUGUUCUCCAUCAAAACUUCUUCCUCUUUGGGCAAUUCUCGUCGCCGGGUGAGGACUAAUAAGAAGAUUCAAAAUGUCAUAGAG